This 496-nucleotide ribosomal RNA is filed under the name uncultured bacterium. Its description in RNAcentral is "partial 16S ribosomal RNA". It matches the Rfam family "Bacterial small subunit ribosomal RNA", at positions 28 to 507 of the family's 1533-position model. The record is from RNAcentral.
GAUGAACGCUGGCGGCGUGCCUAAUACAUGCAAGUCGAGCGAACAGACGAGGAGCUUGCUCCUCUGACGUUAGCGGCGGACGGGUGAGUAACACGUGGAUAACCUACCUAUAAGACUGGGAUAACUUCGGGAAACCGGAGCUAAUACCGGAUAAUAUAUUGAACCGCAUGGUUCAAUAGUGAAAGACGGUUUUGCUGUCACUUAUAGAUGGAUCCGCGCCGCAUUAGCUAGUUGGUAAGGUAACGGCUUACCAAGGCGACGAUGCGUAGCCGACCUGAGAGGGUGAUCGGCCACACUGGAACUGAGACACGGUCCAGACUCCUACGGGAGGCAGCAGUAGGGAAUCUUCCGCAAUGGGCGAAAGCUGACGGAGCAACGCCGCGUGAGUGAUGAAGGUCUUCGGAUCGUAAAACUCUGUUAUUAGGGAAGAACAAAUGUGUAAGUAACUAUGCACGUCUUGACGGUACCUAAUCAGAAAGCCACGGCUAACUACGUG